Molecule: long non-coding RNA, 292 nt
Filed under: Elaeis guineensis (African oil palm)
Lineage: Eukaryota; Viridiplantae; Streptophyta; Magnoliopsida; Arecales; Arecaceae
Description: long non-coding RNA (EGUI_LNC061535)
Source: RNAcentral
AGCUGGCUCCUCUGCUCUCUCCUCGACAUCCUUUGACCAACCGCCAUCAGUCUUUGAAAAAUUCAUGCGGUGCAGUGUGUGGCAGUUGAUGAAGUCAGAAUGAAAUAAUCUGACAACUACCUCCCCUUCAAAACUGACUCCGAACCUUCUAAAGAUCAUGGUGAGUGCCAUACCAAAAGGCAAGUGAGCCUUAGACCUGUUCAGGAUCUCCCUCAUGGCCUCAAACAUUAAAGCAGGAAGGUUCAAGGGGGUCUCGGUGAUCACAUGAUACAUAAUGCAAAUGUCCCUACCA